This 1119-nucleotide ribosomal RNA is filed under the name Staphylococcus aureus. Its description in RNAcentral is "partial 23S ribosomal RNA". It matches the Rfam family "Bacterial large subunit ribosomal RNA", at positions 1286 to 2401 of the family's 2925-position model. Lineage: Bacteria; Bacillati; Bacillota; Bacilli; Caryophanales; Staphylococcaceae. The record is from RNAcentral.
AAGUGAGAAUGCCGGUGUGAGUAGCGAAAGACGGGUGAGAAUCCCGUCCACCGAUUGACUAAGGUUUCCAGAGGAAGGCUCGUCCGCUCUGGGUUAGUCGGGUCCUAAGCUGAGGCCGACAGGCGUAGGCGAUGGAUAACAGGUUGAUAUUCCUGUACCACCUAUAAUCGUUUUAAUCGAUGGGGGGACGCAGUAGGAUAGGCGAAGCGUGCGAUUGGAUUGCACGUCUAAGCAGUAAGGCUGAGUAUUAGGCAAAUCCGGUACUCGUUAAGGCUGAGCUGUGAUGGGGAGAAGACAUUGUGUCUUCGAGUCGUUGAUUUCACACUGCCGAGAAAAGCCUCUAGAUAGAAAAUAGGUGCCCGUACCGCAAACCGACACAGGUAGUCAAGAUGAGAAUUCUAAGGUGAGCGAGCGAACUCUCGUUAAGGAACUCGGCAAAAUGACCCCGUAACUUCGGGAGAAGGGGUGCUCUUUAGGGUUAACGCCCAGAAGAGCCGCAGUGAAUAGGCCCAAGCGACUGUUUAUCAAAAACACAGGUCUCUGCUAAACCGUAAGGUGAUGUAUAGGGGCUGACGCCUGCCCGGUGCUGGAAGGUUAAGAGGAGUGGUUAGCUUCUGCGAAGCUACGAAUCGAAGCCCCAGUAAACGGCGGCCGUAACUAUAACGGUCCUAAGGUAGCGAAAUUCCUUGUCGGGUAAGUUCCGACCCGCACGAAAGGCGUAACGAUUUGGGCACUGUCUCAACGAGAGACUCGGUGAAAUCAUAGUACCUGUGAAGAUGCAGGUUACCCGCGACAGGACGGAAAGACCCCGUGGAGCUUUACUGUAGCCUGAUAUUGAAAUUCGGCACAGCUUGUACAGGAUAGGUAGGAGCCUUUGAAACGUGAGCGCUAGCUUACGUGGAGGCGCUGGUGGGAUACUACCCUAGCUGUGUUGGCUUUCUAACCCGCACCACUUAUCGUGGUGGGAGACAGUGUCAGGCGGGCAGUUUGACUGGGGCGGUCGCCUCCUAAAAGGUAACGGAGGCGCUCAAAGGUUCCCUCAGAAUGGUUGGAAAUCAUUCAUAGAGUGUAAAGGCAUAAGGGAGCUUGACUGCGAGACCUACAAGUCGAGCAGGGUCG